UUUUUCCAAGGGUUUAGGGGUUUACCCAAGGAUUUAGGGUUUACCCAAGGAUUUAUGGUUUAGGAUUUGAGUUUAGGGUUUAGUAUUAGAGUUUAGGGUUUUUUUCCAAGGGUUUAGGGGUUUACCCAAGGAUUUAGGGUUUACCCAAGGAUUUAGGGUUUAGGAUUUGAGUUUAGAGUUUAGUAUUAGAGUUUAGGGUUUACUGUUUUGUUGACAACAUUUUUUUUUUUUGAAUUCGUUUUUUAUAUAUUAUUUUUAUUUAUUUUAAAAUUUUAUUUUGAAAAAAUAAUAUAAUUUGCCAAGUUAUUUGGUUUUCUUAAUUAAAAGAU
This 329-nucleotide long non-coding RNA is filed under the name Brassica napus (rape). RNAcentral describes it as "long non-coding RNA (BNAP_LNC021752)". The record is from RNAcentral. Lineage: Eukaryota; Viridiplantae; Streptophyta; Magnoliopsida; Brassicales; Brassicaceae.